Molecule: long non-coding RNA, 472 nt
Organism: Gavialis gangeticus (Gharial)
Lineage: Eukaryota; Metazoa; Chordata; Crocodylia; Gavialidae
Exons: 4
Source: RefSeq, a predicted model, not a curated record
AGGACCACGUUCUCCCCGGGAGGGUGAAAUGUUUGAAAGAGAGAGCGGGACAGUCUUCCUCUGGCCGGGACCACCUCUCGUCCGCAGAGCUCCUGGCUGAUCUGCCAUCAUGAGAGUCCUUUACCUUCUCUUUGCUGUUUCCAUCUUGAUGCUCCAGCUUGCUGCAGGAUUCCCCAAGAUUGGCUAUUUUCACUGCCAGAGCCGCAAAGGGCAAUGCUUCCAGCACACGUGUCCCCCAAACACCAAGUACAUUGGAAGUUGUAACCAACUGGGUAAUUGCUGUCAAAGGAUUUGAAGUGGCAGAUGAUCUGGCCAGGAUCUGGGGGGACUUGGGAGAGCUACCUCACCUGUAAGAUCACUGGUUCCUGUAUCAAACCAAAUGUGAAGCACUGUUUCUUUGGGCUGCAAAGAACUUCACAGUCUGGAGAAACUCCAAAAGGAGGCCCCUGUAUCCACUCAUGAUGCACAUCUC